RNAcentral lists this ribosomal RNA (253 nucleotides) under uncultured bacterium. RNAcentral describes it as "partial 16S ribosomal RNA". It matches the Rfam family "Bacterial small subunit ribosomal RNA", at positions 524 to 776 of the family's 1533-position model. The record is from RNAcentral.
UACGUAGGCAGCGAGCGUUGUUCGGAGUUACUGGGCGUAAAGCGUGCGCAGGCGGUGAUGUAAGACAGUUGUGAAAUCCCCGGGCUCAACCUGGGAACUGCAUCUGUGACUGCAUCGCUGGAGUGCGGCAGAGGGGGAUGGAAUUCCGCGUGUAGCAGUGAAAUGCGUAGAUAUGCGGAGGAACACCGAUGGCGAAGGCAAUCCCCUGGGCCUGCACUGACGCUCAUGCACGAAAGCGUGGGGAGCAAACAGG